GGUUACAGCUGUACCACUCUGAAAAUGUCGGAAUCUGGUCUUAUCCCAAAAACUAAGCAGAUUUGGGCCUGGUUAAUAAUGGAUUGGAGAACACUAAGAAUAUCAGGUGCUGUAGUGG
Molecule: ribosomal RNA, 118 nt
Filed under: Periophthalmus magnuspinnatus
Lineage: Eukaryota; Metazoa; Chordata; Actinopteri; Gobiiformes; Gobiidae
Source: RNAcentral